This is a long non-coding RNA of Poecilia latipinna (sailfin molly), 181 nucleotides long. RefSeq lists it as uncharacterized. Lineage: Eukaryota; Metazoa; Chordata; Actinopteri; Cyprinodontiformes; Poeciliidae. The record is from RefSeq and is a predicted model, not a curated record. The transcript is spliced from 3 exons.
CUCCUCCCUGUUUUUGACAUAUGCACACUCAAAAAAAUGAACUUAGGGGGUUAUUAGAUUAAUAAAAGAAUAUCAUGUACUUUUAACACAAUAAUUUCAUGUUUUAAACAAAAACGUGAUAAAAUCAUGUUGAACAAACAAGAAAUUCAUCAACUUAACGUUUAUGAAAUUGAAUCAUGUU